GAUGAACGCUGGCGGCGUGCCUAAUACAUGCAAGUCGAGCGAACAGACGAGGAGCUUGCUCCUCUGACGUUAGCGGCGGACGGGUGAGUAACACGUGGAUAACCUACCUAUAAGACUGGGAUAACUUCGGGAAACCGGAGCUAAUACCGGAUAAUAUAUUGAACCGCAUGGUUCAAUAGUGAAAGACGGUUCUGCUGUCACUUAUAGAUGGAUCCGCGCCGCAUUAGCUAGUUGGUAAGGUAACGGCUUACCAAGGCAACGAUGCGUAGCCGACCUGAGAGGGUGAUCGGCCACACUGGAACUGAGACACGGUCCAGACUCCUACGGGAGGCAGCAGUAGGGAAUCUACCGCAAUGGGCGAAAGCUUGACGGAGCAACGCCGCGUGAGUGAUGAAGGUCUUCGGAUCGUAAAACUCUGUUAUUAGGGAAGAACAAAUGUGUAAGUAACUAUGCACGUCUUGACGGUACCUAAUCAGAAAGCCACGGCUAACUACGUG
Molecule: ribosomal RNA, 497 nt
Filed under: uncultured bacterium
Lineage: Bacteria
Description: partial 16S ribosomal RNA
Rfam family: Bacterial small subunit ribosomal RNA
Source: RNAcentral